UCGCCUGUUUAUCAAAAACAUGGUUUCUUGUUUAUUUAAGAAAUUUAACCUGCCCACUGAAAUAUUUUUAAAGGCCGCAGUAUAUUGACUGUGCAAAGGUAGCAUAAUCAUUAGUCUUUUAAUUGAAGGCUGGUAUGAAUGGUUGGACGAGGCAUAUACUGUUUUAUAUUAAUUUAAAUUGAAUUUAAGUUUUAAGUAAAAAAGCUUAAAUGUUGUUAAGGGACGAGAAGACCCUAUAGAGUUUAAUAUAUGUAGUAAUUAAUUGAGUUAAAUUUUAAUUUUUGGUUAUUAUAAAGUUUAUUUAAUUGGGGUGAUUAGAAGAUAAGAUUAACUCUUCUUUAGUAUAAAUAUUGUUAUUAAUUAAUUGAUCCAUAGUUAAUGAUUAAAAGAUUAAAUUACCUUAGGGAUAACAGCAUAAUUCUUUUUAAGAGUUCAUAUCGAAAAAGGAGAUUGUGACCUCGAUGUUGGAUUAAGAUUUGUUUUAGGUGCAGAUGUUUAAAUAAACUAGGUCUGUUCGACCUUUAAAAUCUUACAUGAUCUGAGUUCCAAC
This 550-nucleotide ribosomal RNA is filed under the name Choeradodis rhombicollis. Its description in RNAcentral is "partial 16S ribosomal RNA". It matches the Rfam family "Bacterial large subunit ribosomal RNA", at positions 1796 to 2616 of the family's 2925-position model. Lineage: Eukaryota; Metazoa; Arthropoda; Insecta; Mantodea; Mantidae. The record is from RNAcentral.